GUAAGAGACUUAGGGUCGCGGCUGGCACAUGAUAAAUGAUAGCUGUUAUUAUUGUAGACUUGUUAGAAAAACAAUGGAGCACAAAGAACUAAAAAUCACCCACAGGUCUGAAGGAGAACUACUGAUAAUUGUUCUAAGCUCUAAGUUUCAUUAUCGGACCCUCGUGGACCUCAUUUCCUUAGGCCUGUGACCUCACUGCAGUGCUGAGUCCCUGUGCUGACAGUAGCCUUCAUCUCCACUAACCAUUCUGCUAUGUCCCAGUGCUUCCUGGAGUCAAGGACAGUUUUACUGGGAGGAUUUAAGGUACAGAGGAAGUAUUUUUGUGCUACUCAAACUAAACCACAUGGACGAUUAUUUACUUGCCUAAAAAAAUAGCUGGUUCCACAAACUGCUGUUUUCUUUCUUUUUAGGAUGACCAUUUUAAUGAUCGCUUUGCUGGUAUUAUUGGGAGGUUUAAUAAUGAUGCAGAAACAGAGAAGAGCCUGGAGCUAAAUGUGAGUAAUUUAGAGCUAAGAGGUCUUCAUGCUGCCAACAUUACAUUGAAACUCCAUUAUAGCAAAACCUAGUUUGAAACCCCCCCAAAAAAUUGG
Molecule: long non-coding RNA, 590 nt
Filed under: Vulpes vulpes (red fox)
Lineage: Eukaryota; Metazoa; Chordata; Mammalia; Carnivora; Canidae
Description: lncRNA (ENSVVUG00000001543.1)
Source: RNAcentral